AGGACGAACGCUGGCGGCGUGCCUAAUGCAUGCAAGUCGAGCGACGGAUAGGUGCGGGUAACCAAGCCUAUUACGGAGCGGCGAACGGGUGAGUAACACGUGAGCAACCUGCCCCGCAGAUCGGGAUAGCCCAGGGAAACUUGGAUUAAUACCGGAUAUUCUCCUUUAACCACAUGAUUGUUGGAGGAAAUGUCUUUUGCGCGUACGGGAUGGGCUCGACGGCCUAUCAGUCUUGGUUGGUGGGGUAACGCCUACCAAGGCUACGGACGGUAGCUGGGUCUGGAGGAGGACGACUCGACGCCACACCGUGGGAACUGACGACCGACGGACCCAGACCUCCGUACGGGAGGCAG
This 353-nucleotide ribosomal RNA is filed under the name uncultured soil bacterium. RNAcentral describes it as "bacterial SSU rRNA". It matches the Rfam family "Bacterial small subunit ribosomal RNA", at positions 26 to 351 of the family's 1533-position model. The record is from RNAcentral.